AUUGAACGCUGGCGGUAGGCCUAACACAUGCAAGUCGAGCGGAAGAAUGGAGCUUGCUUCUGGAUUCAGCGGCGGACGGGUGCGUAAUUCCUUGGAAUCUGCCUGGCUGUGGUGGAUAACGUCCGUAAACGGGCGCUAAUACCGCAUAUGCCCCGUGCGAGACAUUUUGGGCUCUUCGGACCUCACGCUAUCAGAUCAGCCUAGGUCGGAUUAGCUAAUUGGUGGGGUAAAGGCCUACCAAGGCGACGAUCCGUAACUGGUCGGAGAGGAUGAUCAGUCCCACUGGAACUGAAACGCGGCCCAGACCACUACGGGAGGCAGCGGAGGAGAAUAGUAGACAAGGGGAGAAAGCCUGAUCCAGACAUGCCGAGUGUGUGAAAAAAGUACUCGGAUUGUAAAGCAAUUUAAGUUGGGAGGAGGGACAGUAAGUUAAUACCUUGCUGUUUUGACGGUACCGAAAGAAUAAGCACCGGCUAACUUCGUG
Molecule: ribosomal RNA, 484 nt
Filed under: uncultured bacterium
Lineage: Bacteria
Description: partial 16S ribosomal RNA
Rfam family: Bacterial small subunit ribosomal RNA
Source: RNAcentral